GACGAACGCUGGCGGCGCGCUUAACACAUGCAAGUCGAGCGAUGAAAUCUUAACAGAACCCUUCGGGGUGAAGAUAAGACGGAUUAGCGGCGGACGGGUGAGUAACACGUGAGUAACCUGCCUUUUACACAGGGAUAGCCUCAGGAAACCGGGAUUAAAACCUGAUGAAACUAUCAAAUCACAUGAUUAAGAAAGUUAAAACUCCGGUGGUAAAAGAUGGACUCGCGUCCCAUUAGCUAGUUGGUGAAGGUAACGGCCCACCAAGGCAACGAUGGGUAGCCGGCCUGAGAGGGUGAACGGCCACAUUGGAACUGAGAAACGGUCCAAACUCCUACGGGAAGCAGCAGUGGGGAAUAUUGCACAAUGGGGGAAACCCUGAUGCAGCGACGCCGCGUGAGCGAAGAAGGCCUUCGGGUCGUAAAGCUCUUUUAUAUGGGAAGAUAAUGACGGUACCAUAAGAAAAAGCCCCGGCUAACUACGUG
RNAcentral lists this ribosomal RNA (482 nucleotides) under uncultured bacterium. RNAcentral's name for it is "partial 16S ribosomal RNA". It matches the Rfam family "Bacterial small subunit ribosomal RNA", at positions 28 to 507 of the family's 1533-position model. The record is from RNAcentral.